GCAUUGCUCCGACUCAUCUCUUCAGAAGCCUGAAGCCCCAAGGAAAUUAAGAUGGAAAUGCAGCGAAAGCUUGUGGUGGUGAUGGUGCUGCUGAUCAUGGCGGCCGCAUUUGAGACCCAAGUAGCGAGGUCCAAGGAAGUGAAUCUAUGUAACAUGAGCGAGGAUGACCUAAUGGCUUGCAAGCCUGCUGUCAUCAAGCCAAACCCUGCCGAUCCGACUCCGGCGUGUUGCAAGGCUUUGUCCGGCGCUGACUUGUCUUGCCUUUGUUCUUAUAAGCACUCCUUGCUGUUGCCCACCUUCGGCAUUGACCCAGACCUUGCCAUGCAACUCCCUACCAAGUGCAAACUCACUCCACCAGCCAACUGCGAAUAAGCUGAUCAUCGAUCGAGGUUUUAUCAACAAUGAUGAGAAAUAUUUACCUCAAGUCUAAUCAUCAAUUGGGAUGGACUGUUGUUGCAACUUGCAAGAAAAGAACAAGGGACUGACUGGAGGUUGUUCCUCCAUGAAUGCCUUCAAUAGAUGUGUUGUAUUGUCUUGUGUUGUGGGGUUUCCCUUUUUCUUUAAUUUGUUUGAGCUGGUGUGUUUUAAUCUUGUACCCAUUAGACUGGGCUUAUUUUCUCUCUUCUUCUUUAGCUCUCUUAUGUCCCCCUGUAUUAAGAAUGGUUAAGCUCACUGUGCUAUAAAGAAAUUAUAUAAUCAAUAUAUACGUUAACUUGUUUUUCGGCUGUUCCA
This is a long non-coding RNA of Nelumbo nucifera (sacred lotus), 732 nucleotides long. RefSeq lists it as uncharacterized. The record is from RefSeq and is a predicted model, not a curated record. Lineage: Eukaryota; Viridiplantae; Streptophyta; Magnoliopsida; Proteales; Nelumbonaceae.